UUGUUUUCGAUGAUGGAACUUCCGAAUCGACGAUCAACUCCGUUAAAUAUGAUCUAGAGUAUUUGAAACUUCUAGAAAAUAAAUUUCGUAAAUUUUCGAAAUCAUAAUAAAGUCAAUCAAGCGGGCAUAAAAUGAACGGUCAAAAUCGAACGACAUCUUAAAAAAGGAUGAUCGGAUCCUUCAAUUCAAGAUCGGAGUUAUUGAUUUUUAUCUAGAUAGUGAAUAGAAUUUUCUAUCAAAAAUUCAACAAAUUCCGAUUCUUUUACACCGUUAAACUAGUAAGUAUCCCAUACCGGCCAUUAAAAAUUGUCAAAUUUGUGACCUCUUGAUCGUAAGGUAAAUGAUGUCGAAAAAUUAUAAAAUUUGAUUUCUAGAAGUUUUAAAUGCUGUAAAUAACGUUUAACGGUAUAGAUCGUCGAUUCGGAAGCUCUAUAAUCAAAAACGAUUUAUGAGUACAAGAACAAUCGUACUCAUAAUAGUAUAGUAGCCGGACCCAUAUAGGCCGUGGCUAUUAUACUAUUAUGAGUAUUGGAGCCCUCGUACUCAUAAGUUGUUUUCGAUGAUGGAACUUCCGAAUCGACGAUCAACUCCGUUAAAUAUGAUCUAGAGUAUUUGAAACUUCUAGAAAAUAAGUUUCGUAAAUUUUCGAAAUCAUAAUAAAGUCAAUCAAGCGGGCAUAAAAUGAACGGUCAAAAUCGAACGACAUCCUAAAAAAGGAUAAUCAGAUCCUUCAAUUCAAGAUUGGAGUUAUUGAUCUUUAUCUCGGUAGUGAAUAGAAUUUUCUAUCAAAAAUUCAACAAAUUCCGAUUCUUUUACACCGUUAAACUAGUAAGUAUCCCAUACCGGCCAUUAAAAAUUGUCAAAUUUGUGACCUCUUGAUCGUAAGGUAAAUGAUGUCGAAAAAUUAUAAAAUUUGAUUUCUAGAAGUUUUAAAUGCUGUAAAUAACGUUUAACGGUAUAGAUCGUCGAUUCGGAAGCUCUAUAAUCAAAAACGAUUUAUGAGUACAAGAACAAUCGUACUCAUAAUAGUAUAGUAGCCGGACCCAUAUAGGCCGUGGCUAUUAUACUAUUAUGAGUAUUGGAGCCCUCGUACUCAUAAGUUGUUUUCGAUGAUGGAACUUCCGAAUCGACGAUCAACUCCGUUAAAUAUGAUCUAGAGUAUUUGAAACUUCUAGAAAAUAAGUUUCGUAAAUUUUCGAAAUCAUAAUAAAGUCAAUCAAGCGGGCAUAAAAUGAACGGUCAAAAUCGAACGACAUCCUAAAAAAGGAUAAUCAGAUCCUUCAAUUCAAGAUUGGAGUUAUUGAUCUUUAUCUCGGUAGUGAAUAGAAUUUUCUAUCAAAAUUUCAACAAAUUCCGAUUCUUUUACACCGUUAAACUAGCAAGUAUUCCAUACCGGCCAUUAAAAAUUGUCAAAUUUGUGACCUCUUGAUCGUAAGGUAAAUGAUGUCGAAAGAUUAUAAAAUUUGAUUUCUACAAGUUUUAAAUGCUGUAAAUAACGUUUAAAGGUAUGGAUCGUCGAUUCGAAAGCUCUAUAAUCGAAAACGAUUUAUGAGUACAAGAACAAUCGUACUCAUAAUAGUAUAGUAGCCGGACCCUAUAUAUAUAUAUAUAAUCCAGCUAUUAUACUCUUCUGAGUAUAGGUCCCUUUCUACUCAUAAGUUUUCGACCGUUAGAUCUACCUCUUUGACUAUUUCUAUCUGUUAGAUUGUACUAUUCAACCAACUACCUACUCAAUCUUAGAGAACCACUAUCAUCCUAACCGCACAUCUCUUCAUCCAAUAGUCGAAAAUUUAUAAGUACAAAAGGCUCUAUACUCAUAAGAAUAUAGUAACCCUAGCCUAUAUAUGAGUCCGGCUACUACAACAUCUAACAUUUAUAUCCGUUUUAUUGAUCCAAUA
Molecule: long non-coding RNA, 1898 nt
Filed under: Ananas comosus (pineapple)
Lineage: Eukaryota; Viridiplantae; Streptophyta; Magnoliopsida; Poales; Bromeliaceae
Description: long non-coding RNA (ACOM_LNC041649)
Source: RNAcentral